Molecule: small nucleolar RNA, 135 nt
Organism: Trichechus manatus latirostris (Florida manatee)
Lineage: Eukaryota; Metazoa; Chordata; Mammalia; Sirenia; Trichechidae
Product: small nucleolar RNA SNORA72
Exons: 1
Source: RefSeq, a predicted model, not a curated record
CUGUAAAUAUCCUUCUCCAUGUCUUGAUAUCAUGACAGCCAAGGCAGGCAAGACAUUCACUACAGGAAGACAAUGCCCGUGUCCCCAGAUCUAGUUCUUUCCCUAAGUCUGGCUUUAUAAAUGCUGGUGAUACAC